This is a non-coding RNA of Sphaerulina musiva SO2202, 119 nucleotides long. Lineage: Eukaryota; Fungi; Ascomycota; Dothideomycetes; Mycosphaerellales; Mycosphaerellaceae. The record is from the annotation of a RefSeq genome assembly.
GUUACAGGCGGAGUGGUUAACGCGCUGGCCUGCUAUUGGAACUGUACGAUUGUAAUCGUACUUCGACUGUUAUUAAGCCAGUUCCUUCGGGAGCGUGUGUUCGAAUCACACAGGUGUCG